AGUGGGAUAGCUGGGUCAAAUGAUGGUUCCAGUGUUUUCCAAGGAAUCUCUAUACUGCUUUCCAUAUUGGCUGUAGCAAUUUGUAGUCCCACCAGCAAU
Molecule: microRNA precursor, 99 nt
Filed under: Marmota monax (woodchuck)
Lineage: Eukaryota; Metazoa; Chordata; Mammalia; Rodentia; Sciuridae
Source: RNAcentral